GUUGGGGAGACAGCCUUGGUGCGGUGCCAGCACUGCUCAGCAGCAGCCACAACACGGGUGUGUGAUCAGCACCUUGCUGGCUACCGAUACACAGCACAGCGCUGUGGGGGCUGCUAUGGGGAAAGGUAACUCCAGCCCAGUCAGACCCAUCUGCAUUUUGUAGCUGCAGUUCUGCGAAGGAGGGGACCGGCCCCUUGCAGCGGGCAGUCAGUUCUCCCCCACACGGAAGCAGCAAACAGCGUACCCUCCCAGGGGUGCUCCAUCCAGCCUGGAUGGGUGCUGCCGCGGUCCCUGCAGAGCACUGGGAUCCUCACCCUGUCCCACUGCCAGACCCCGCUUGGUGGGCUGAAGCUGGCGCUGAUGGCACGUCACGGCAGUUCAGCAGGUGGCAGGGCUUCCUCAGUGCCUGUAAUUCAACAGCUCGGUAAAACUCAGCGAGGGCGGCAGAAAACACAUCCUCAUUGCCAAUAUCUACGUGCUCCUUGCACUCUCCAAUUUGAUGUCCAAGUAGAGGAUUGCUGAGAGACUAGAAGAAAUAGGGAGUGCUCAUAGAAAAAAAACAGCAGACUUCACAGAAGCAGAAUCUAGACUUACUGCCACUGUCAAAAAGGUUUUCACAGAACGAAUGAAUUUUUCAAAGCAGAGAGAAGGAGAAGGGAUGUUAUGAGCCUGCUUUCAGUAGGGAAAUCUGAUGCAGAGUGGUGUAUUUACUCCUUUGACUUCUUUCCAAAGAAAACCAGCUGGUUCUCUCUCUGGAGUUGCGGAGCUAAUCAUUUGUGAUUGCAACAACGUGGAGAACUCCACUACGGAAAAGCCACUCAGCAAACCUUACAGGUCACACAAGAAAUGCAUCUUUGUGCUAAAAACAGAAUCCAGAUGUCAGCUGAACAUAAUCAGCAGAAACAUUUCUGUAGACACUGCUCCUAUCAGCAUAGCACUAGGUAAGUGUUCAGUAUCCCUUGCUCACGUUUUCAGCCCAAGCUUUCCCUUCCCUUCCAUGACCCGAUGACUUCUUUACGGCACCGGUCAAGUGAUCUGCGCUUCCAAAACCUGUCAAAGUCUCUCCCUCACGUGUCGUCAGAUAAGGGAUGUGCUGAACAGCCCCGUACGUCUGACUCGACUGAGCACGCUCUGGGAGCGGGGCUGGCGUUCACCACAAAGUUCUGAUGAAGCAGAGCAUGUUCACUGUUUGUAGAGCGUGUUCACUGCCUGUAUAUCAAUGUCAGACCCCAAACCGUACUAAUCUGGAAAUAAAUAAAGUGAAUGGAUAUUAAGCGUGAGUAGCAGUCACUGAAAUCACUAAAGAGUAUUUGUAACAAAAUGCAAAGGAUUUAGCAUUCCCAUUAGGGUUAAUAUCAGUUCUGUGGCUAAAAAUCCAGGCACUAAUGCUCCUAAAACUAAACCACUCUCCCAUUUUCAAUACCAUUCUAAUAAAAUCCAAAUGAAGGGAUUUAAAUGGAAGCCAUCCGCAGCGUCAAUGACGUGCUGCUGUUGGUUAUCCCAGGAUGUUUGGUAUCAACAACCAGGCAGCAGUGCUAAGUGCGUGGACAAAAUCCAAACCCCUUUUUUCAGUGCUUAACCACAGAGGAAAUACAGCCUUCUCCCUUGUGCAAGACAUGCUGAGCUAUAAGGUUGCCAAAAUAGCUUGUUAUGUGGAAGCCCUGUGCUACCAGAAGAUAAAAACAUUGAACUAACUGUUUGUAUUAGGGUCUCUAGGCCCUGUGGCAUUUUCUAUGCAAAUACACUUGGGCUUACAUGUGUAUUAAGUCAAAUCGAUGAAAUUAUCACCAUAGAAUGAGCUGAAAUGAUAGAACAUUCCCUUUAAUUUGAAAAGGAUUUGCAAUUCAGCAGUUCCAUAGAAAGCUAAUUGAAAUGCACUUAUGCUGCUGAAAAGCAGUGAUAAAUUUAUGAAAUCCACACAAUUAUUUUUAGCUGUCAAAAUACUUGAAAUCAUAAGCUGUAGAUAGAUAAUUAACCAGCUAGUUUGAUUGAAGACACGUAAUUUAAAUUUAAGGAUGAGUCCAAAAGAAUGACUACCUGAAAUACAAAAAAGGUGAGCCUGCAGAAAUAAAGAUAUAACAAUUAAAAAGUGCCUCUUGAGCAAAGUAUGAAAGCAUAUACUUAAUUCUAAGCAUAUGACUAUCCCUGCAACUUCACCAUAAAAUAACUUGCAAAAUUUUUUAGCAAGGUCUUUAGGAAGGCUUAGUAAGGUGCUGGAGGAUUUACUAGACAAAACUCUCACUGAACGAUUUAGCAAAAUUUCAGUGACAGCUUUCUCUCUCUGUGAACAUAGAUUUGCUGUUUUAAUGGAUGCCUUGUACUGCAAGGAAGAAGGGAAAGAAGAAAGGCAGGGGAAAAUAAAGAAAAAUAAGUUUAAAAUACAGUGAGCUUUUCACACGAUAUCAGGUAUAAUAUCACUAUGCACAGUCCUAAAUAGUUUAUUGGUCUUAACAAAGAGCAUAUUUUUUUCCUUACAAAGUAUAUUGACCACUAUUGUGGUGGGUUGACCUUGACUGGGUGCCAGGUGCCCACCAAGCUGCUCUACCACUCCCCUCCUCAGUAGGACAGGGUGGGAAAAAACAUAAGAUGGAAAAAAACUCGUGGGUCAAGAUAAAGGCAGUUUAAGAAAACAAAAGCAAAGGUUGAGCUUAGAAGCAAAGGAAAAAAACCCAAAAGAUUUAUUCUCUACUUCCCAUCAGCAGGUGAUGUCCAGCCACUUCUGGGGAAGCAGCGCUUCAGUACGUGUAGCAGAGACUCUGGAAGACAAACAUUGUAAAUAACAAAUUGCCCCCCUUUCUCUUCCUUUCUCUCAGCUUUUAUUGCUGAGCAGAUGUCAUACGGCAUGGAAUAUCCCUUUGGUCAGCUUGGGUCAGCUGUCCUGGCUGUGUCCCCUCCCAGGAUCUUGCCCACCCCCAGCCUACUGGUGGUGGUGUGGGAAUGUUGGGGAGACAGCCUUGGUGCGGUGCCAGCACUGCUCAGCAGCAGCCACAACACGGGUGUGUGAUCAGCACCUUGCUGGCUACCGAUACACAGCACAGCGCUGUGGGGGCUGCUACGGGGAAAGGUAACUCCACCUCAGCCUGACCCAAUUCAGCUAUCUAUGUGAUAUUUUAUAACAGCAAACCUUUCAGAUCAAAGGAAAUGUACUGAAGUGUGACAAGUAAUUUCAGUUGCCUAGAUAAGCAGAAACAUACCAGUGUUAUACUGAAGUUAUUUAACUGAAAAAAAAUAAAAUAUUGAAAGUAUAAAUGGUAUGUUCUUCCCUUUCCACAGCAACAUUUUUUUCUUUAUUUUUGUUUUUGUUUUUGUUGACAUAUUUGCUCAUACCUCUAUAUAAAAGGAAACGAAAAAGAAGAAAACAGAAUUCAUCGCCUUGCACCACUUGCUGCAUUUCUUUACUGUCUGACAACAGAAAACUAAAUGGGAAAAAAUAGAAUGUGAUAAGGUUUUCCACUGAAAUGGCUGAUGUGCUUGCACGUAUCAGAGAGUUCAAAGAAAUAGUUGCAGCAGAGAAGAAGGAAGCUUUUGGGGAGCUUUGGGAAAGCCUGAAGCAAAUAUUUGAAAGUUUUUUCUAAAAUUAGGUGGUGACAUUACUCCCCCCCAUAUAAUUUGCAUAACAGGUGCAUAAAUAUAGUACUUUCUAUGUA
This is a long non-coding RNA of Grus americana (Whooping crane), 3647 nucleotides long. RefSeq lists it as uncharacterized. The record is from RefSeq and is a predicted model, not a curated record. The transcript is spliced from 5 exons. Lineage: Eukaryota; Metazoa; Chordata; Aves; Gruiformes; Gruidae.